This 5694-nucleotide long non-coding RNA is filed under the name Sus scrofa (pig). RNAcentral's name for it is "lncRNA (ENSSSCG00030043773.1)". Lineage: Eukaryota; Metazoa; Chordata; Mammalia; Artiodactyla; Suidae. The record is from RNAcentral.
GGAACGAACCUGCAUCUCAGAGCUCCAAAGACCACCAAUCCCACUGUGUCACAGCGGGAACUCCUCAAAGCAAAAUCAUUUUCACUCCCAUGAGUCUGACGGGGUAUGAUCAAGCCUUUUUCAUUCUUGUUGUUUUUGCCUCUUUCUUUUGGCUUCGACCGGCAUGUGGAAGUUCCCAGGCCAGGAAUCAAAUCCGAGCCACAGUAGUAACUUGAGCUGGUCCAGUGACAAUGCCAGAUCCCUAACCUGCUGUGCCACAAGGGUACUCCCUGCCUUUUUCAUUCUUAAGGUACCAAAACUGAUCCCCUUCGUUGCUCUUCCUCCUCCGGAGUUUUCCUCCCGCCCAAGUGAGAAGAAACUGGGACUCAGCAAGGGUGAGAGUUUAGCCAAAGUCACCCACUCAAGUGGGGUAGAACCUGUCUCUCACCAGGGCUUCUGACCUCAGGGCUUGCUGGUGGUGAGCGUGGUGCAUUCAGCACUGAGGUUGGUGUCUCACCUGCAAGUUGUGUCUGAGUUGCUGGCUUCAUCUCUCUGAGUCUUAUCUUCCUUGAAGCAAGGAAGUGAGGUGACUUUGCCACUGACAAUGUUCUUCCGGGUACCAGGGGCCCGUGACCUAGUCUUGCCCAGAGUCAGAAUUGGCCCACAGAGACUGGAGCUCCUCUCUAGCCCCCAGACUCCACCAACUAGUACCUCUCCAGUCCCGCCUUUUUUUCUUUUUUUUUUCCAGCUGCACCUGAGGCAUAUGGAAAUUCCUGGGCUAGGGGUCGAAUCUGAGCUGGAGCUGUGACCUGCGACACAGCUGCAGCAAUGCUGGAUCCUUAACCCACUGUUCCAGGGCUGGAUUGAACUGGUGUCUUGACAGAGACAAGCCUAAGCUGGAUUUUUUUUUUUUUUUCCUUUUGUUUGCUUUAGGGCUGCACCUGUGGCAUAUGGAGGUUCCCAGGUUAGGGGUUGAAUCAGAGCUGUAGCUGCUGGCCUAUACCACAGCCACAGCAACACCAGAUCUGAGCUGCAUCUGAGACCUACACCACAGCUUGCAGUGACGCUGGAUCCUUAACCCAUGGAGUGAGGCCAGGGAUCAAACCUGCGUCCUAUGGAUCCUAGUCAGAUUCAUUUCUGCUGCAUCACGAUGGGAACUCCCCAGGCUGGAUCUUUAACCCUCUGCACCACAGUAGGAACUCCAAAUUAUUCUACUAACCAUUUCUCUCUCUCUUUCCUUUUUUUAUGGCCGCACCUGCAGUGUAUGGAAGUUCCUGGGCUGGGGAUGAACCCAGGCCACCAGAGGGACAAUCCUGGGACACUUAACCCACUGUGUCACAGCUAGAACUCAGCCCCACCUUUGUUUUGAUCUAACCCCCUUCUCCAGUACCCAUGCCUCCCUCAUAGACAAAGCUGGGGCCUCUGGAUUGAAAUCUUGGGCCCCCAGUUCAGCCCCAGCUUCCUGACCUUAAGUUCUAGCAUCAUGCUCCCUCCCCUCCCCAGUGGAGAGAUGCGCCCUCUCCCUCCUCUCUCCCAGCCCUGACUCCUCCUCUUCCAUCGUCUCCCCACCCCCUCCCUCUCCUACUUCUUUCCUCUCUCCUAUCCCUCAAGUUCUCCGGGUCUCCCACCCUCCCCUACUCCCUGUAUCUCCUCGCCCCUCUCCAACCCUCCUCUUCCCUUCUCUGUGUUCUCCUUCUCCUUGUCGCCUGUGUGGGGCCUCUCCUACCAGGGCACCUGUGUCCCAUCAUCCUGUCAGGGCGGCCCCUCCAUCUCUGAGUGGGGCUGUGGUAGGGCCUGCUGAGUGUCUGCCCUGCCGCAGGCUUUGAACUCUGCCCAGAUCUGGGCUUUGGGAGACCUUGGGCGCAGGCUAUGAGAUGCUGUGCGUUGCCCUGGGUCGGGCUGAUGCCUACAUGCUCUCAGAUGGCACCACCUUUGCUUGGGACACUUGAGGCCCCCAUGCCCUGCUGCUCGCUCUGGACCUAGAGGGCAGCCUGGCUCUGCUGUGUGGAGAGGAGGCAAGGGUGCCCAGCCCAGCUCACCCACCACCAGCCAUUGCCAGGCACCCAAAGGACAGAAGCCUGAGCUAAUUGGGUGGCAGUCUGGCAUUUCCAGAUGCUAGUGCUUGAAGCUGGUGCUGGAGGCUCUGAAGGAUGUGCUGUGAGGUCAGCCGCCUCCCCACCCAAAGGUACACAAGGCUCUAGGCCAACUUUCCAGGCUGGUGGAGUGAGAGUGGGCCAUUCUCUUUUUAAAAAAAAUUUUGUUAGGAAUUCCCUUGUGGCUCAGUGGGUUAAGGAUCUGGUGUUGUCACUUCUGUGGCUCCAGUUACUGCUGUGGCAAGAGUUCAAUCCCUGGACUGGGAACUUCUGCAUGCUGUGGGCACCAAAUUUUUUUUUGUUGUUGUUAAAAUACAUAUAACAGGAGUUCCCAUUAUGGCUCAGUGGGUUAAGAACCCAAUUAGUAUCCACAAGGAUGCAGGUUCGAUCCUUUGUCUUGUUCAGUGGGUUAAGGAUUGGGCAUUGAGGCAAGCUGUGGUAUAGGUUGCAGAUGUGGCUUGGAUCCCACGUUGUUGUGGCUGUGGUGUAGGCCGGCAGCUGCAGCUCCGAUUCACCCCCUAGCCUGGGAACUUCCAUUUGCCAAGGCUGCAUAUGAAGGUUCCCAGGCUAGGGGUUGAAUUGGAGCUGUAGCUGCUGACCUACGCCACAGCCACAGCAAUGCAGGAUCCGAGCCACAUCUGCGAUCUACACCACAGCUCAUGGCAAUGCCAGAUCCUUAACCCACUGAACGAGGCCAGGGAUUGAACCUGAAACCUCAAGGUUCCUCGUCCGAUUCAUUUCCGCUGCGCCACGACGGGAACUCCAUUUUAAGUGUUCAGUGGCUCUAAGUACAUUUACGUCUUGUGCAGUUAUCACCAUCAUCCAGCUUUAGAACUUUUUCAUCUUCCUAAAGGGAAACAGAACAAUCACUCCCCAUUUCUCCCUCUGCCAGCUGCCCCCCCCACCUUGGGCUCUAUAAAUGUGACCUGCCCUCCUCCCAGCUCCACACAGGUCUGUUCUCUAGGCUCUCCCUGGCCCCCUCCUUUCCUCUCUUCCCUGGCUCCAUUCUUCUGUCCCAUUGCUUGGCCAGGCUGCUAACGCCACUCCACACUGGCCCCCGUCUGCUCCCAGCCCUUCCCCUGGUGUUCCUCUUAGAGGGGAGGGUCCCAUUCUCUUGACCUUCCCCUCAGCUCCACCCCUGCCCACCUGGAUGCCUCCCCUCCCUGCUGCUCCCUCCUCAGGCCUAGCAGGUGCUCCAGAUCCUGCCCUGACCCUGCCUGGAGAAGGCCACCCAUCCAAUGCCCUUCUCUUGUGACAUUUUCUUUUCUCUUGGCCUCUGGGAGAGAGAGGAAAAAGCACAGGCUUUGGAACUCCCAGAGGUCGGGGUUCAAAUCCUAACCCUGCCCUUUACUGGCUUGACUCUGGCACUCUGGCAAAAAAAGGAAACGAGACAAAUCAUACAGGCCUAACAGGGCUGUCGUGAGGAUUAAAUGAGCUCACGGCUCUAAGUGCCCCGCAUCAGGCCCAGGGCCCAGCAGAGUGCAGGGGUCCAGCCCCGCAGCCUCCUUUCCCCUUCAGCUCCUUUACUGCUACUGACCCCUCUGCUGUGUUCCUUCAACAUAAGGGUUUCCUGGAAUGUUUCUUCUCUUGCUCUGGCCUUCACUCAUGUAACGGAGCAGGGCCCUGUGAGGCCUUCCCAGAGUGUCCCCUCCCCGCCCACUCAUGUCCUGCACCUGCCUUUUUGGCUAUAGAAAACUUUAGUUGAAGCAUCAACUUAAUCAGGGAAGUGAAAAAAUACAGAGAAAAAGGAAAAUAGUCAAGCACGACAGAAAAUAAUAAUUUAGCCAUUCAGCAAAGUCAAGGACCUUCAGUUCUUCUUCAAAGCCUAUAGAUAAUAUUCUGAGCCAUGGGAGUUCCCAUCGUGGCUCAGUAGUUAACGAAUCCGACUGGGAACCAUGAGGUUGUGGGUUCGAUCCCUGGCCUCGCUCAGUGGGUUAAGGAUCUGGCGUUGCCAUGAGCUCUGGUGUGGGUUGCAGAUGCGGCUCAGAUCCUGCGUUGCUGUGGCUCUGGUGUAGGCUGGCAUCUACAGCUCUGAUUCGACCCCUAGCAUGGGAACCUCCAUAGGCCGCGGGAGCGGCCCAAGAAAUGGCAAAAAGACAGAGAAAAAAAAAAAAAAUUCUGAGCCAUGUCUUUGGAGCCCUUUUGCAGGUGUUGAAGCCCCCACUGGGUGGAAGAAGUCAACUGGAUGCUGCCCACAGCACAUGGACCCCAGACUGGCUGGGACCAGAAGGUCGAUGAUGCUGACUCUAAAUGACCUCACCACCCACCAAUCAGGACAAUGUCCACGAGCUGAUCACGCCAGGCUCCUCGAACACUAGAAGACUCCUCCCUACCCCUUCCAGGGGGGGGCAUGGUCCUUGGGGGCACUAGCCUGCUGUGUUCCUCUCUUUGCCUGUCCAUUAAAGCUACUUUUUUUUUAGGGCUGCACCCAUGGUAUAUGGAGAUUCCCAGGCUAGGGGUCUGAUCAGAACUGUACCUGCUGGUCUACACCACAGCAAUGCAGGAUCCAGCCAUGUCUUUGACCUACACCACAGCUCACGGCAGCGAUGGAUCCUUAACCCACUGAGCAAGGUCAGGGAUUGAACCUGUGUCCUCAUGGAUGCUAGUCAGAUUCGUUAACCCCUGAGCCACGACGGGAACUCCUAAAGCUACCUUUUCUGUUUCCUCCAACUCUGUGUCUCCAUGUUUCUGUUGGGCAUCGGUGUAGAGGCAGCCGACAUUUCAGCAACACUCGCCUGUGGAUCAGAAAUCACUUUUUAUCUCUAAUUUGACUACUCCUCUCUCCUGAGUUUCACAUCUCCAAUUCCAGGUGGGACAUCUCCAUUUUUCCCCUGGGCACCCAGGUUUGGAAACUCUGAGUCAUCUCAGACUCUUUCCAUUUCCUCGCCCCACUGCCAUCCCCCCUUUAUUUUUUUGUCAUUCCAGUGGCACGUGGAUGUUCCUGGGCCAGGGAUCAAACCCACACCACAGCAGUGGCAAAGACAGAUCCUUAACCUGCUGUGCCAUAAGGGAACACCAGUCACUCUGUCCUUUGCUUUUUCCCUCUGAAAGUCCUUUCCAAGGAUUUCCCCUCCUUUCCGUGGCUCUGGUCUUAAUUAGCUCUCCCCUGGGGCAUGGCAGUGAUGUCCCAGCUUCCCUCCAGGCAUUCAUUCCUCCUCUUCCAAGGUAGGCCCCAUGCUAAGGCAGUUCAUCUUGUCAAUUAAUUUCCACGGGUCCCCUUUGUCCUAGAACACACCCAACCCAGCCACCUAAGUUCUCAAUAGUCCUGUCACCCAGACUGUCUUCUUUGUGCUUCAUCUACUGUUUUGUGAAGUAUUGCAAAGUAAAUUACAAAUAUGACAUUCCACCCUUAAGUAUUUUCAUAUGCAUAUUAAAAAAAUAGUGGAGGAGUUCCCAUCGUGGCUCAGUGGUUGGUGAGUCCGACUAGGAACCAUGAGUUUGCGGGUUCGAUCUCUGGCCUUGCUCAGCAGGUUGAGGAUCUAGUGUUGCCGUGAGCUGUGGUGUAGGUUGCAAAUGUGACUCGGAUCCUGCGUUGCUGUGGCUCUGGCGUAGGCCAGCGGCUACAGCUCUGAUUAGACCCUAGCCUGGGAACCUCCAUAUGCCGCAGGAGCGGCCCUAGAAA